Molecule: long non-coding RNA, 954 nt
Filed under: Mytilus galloprovincialis (Mediterranean mussel)
Lineage: Eukaryota; Metazoa; Mollusca; Bivalvia; Mytilida; Mytilidae
Source: RNAcentral
UUUGUGUACAUUUUGUUAUGUUAUUGUAUAACAACUCAUAUUGUUUUAUUAUCAUUAAUAAUAAAAUGAUAAUCAGUAAUAUUACCAAUAUUAAUUGAAAACAAGAGCCUGUGUUACUCUCCUGGAUUGUUUCAAAGGAAAAGAUUCUUUGUACAAGUUACAAAACCAUUACAGAGGACACCAAGUGAUGAAAACAGCUCAGAUGACCCUUAGUUCAGAAAAGAUAACAUGUGUGUGUAUAUAUAUAUACUAUAAACACAACCCCAAUCGCGUGUCUGUGGCUGAAUUAAGGCAUCAAGUUAUAUAUAAGCUUUAUUUUUUACCUGGAAUGUUUUGUACUCGUAUUAUAAUCUGAUAUCGUCUAUUUAUAUAUAUGCUGUCUAUAAGAUGCAUGAUUUUCUCUGCAUUAAAAAAUCUUAGGGUUUGAACCCAUUGACCUGGAACUUAUUCAUUCUUGCUUUGCAUUAUAAUAGUUUAAAUAUUUAGUAUUCUUAAAGUCAUCUUAUAAAGUCAUGCUGAUUAAAUACUACAAUAGGAAACAAUGUGACAAUGAUUGAAUUUAGUAUAUCAAGUUAAGGUGUGAUUAUGACCCAUUUAAAUAGCAAAUCCCAAAUACACCCUUUGAUGGUGUACCUGACACAUGAGGAAUAUACAAUUUAGGUAAUAGGUACAUAUACUGUUGGAAAAGGUUUCUGCAAGGAUUUGUAUCUUACUAUAAAUCCUUGGUUUCAGGUUUGAAAUGGAAUUUGUUAAUUAUGUUUUUUUAUUAAUUAUGUGGAAACCAAAAGGGACUGGAAUGGCGUCAUUUUUAAUCAACACCAUUGUCCUAUAUUAGUUAUACAGAAAGUGAAAUUCUUUUAUUCACCAUCUUUUACCCAUGCCAGCUAACAAAUUUUACCACAUUAUUUUAGUAUAAUAGAAAAAGUUAACAAGACAUCUGAUACUAGAAAUCUU